GAGGAAGUGGGGAUACGUCAAGUCAUCAUGGCCCUUAUGGGUAGGGCUUCACACGUCAUACAAUGGUCGGUACAGAGGGUCGCCAACCCGCGAGGGGGAGCCAAUCCCAGAAAACCGAUCGUAGNAGCAGUCUGCAACUCGACUGCAUGAAGUCGGAAUCGCUAGUAAUCGCGGAUCAGCAUGUCGCGGGUGAUA
RNAcentral lists this ribosomal RNA (195 nucleotides) under uncultured bacterium. Its description in RNAcentral is "partial 16S ribosomal RNA". It matches the Rfam family "Bacterial small subunit ribosomal RNA", at positions 1166 to 1365 of the family's 1533-position model. The record is from RNAcentral.